This 158-nucleotide ribosomal RNA is filed under the name Phyllachora sp. XL-2018i. Its description in RNAcentral is "5.8S ribosomal RNA". It matches the Rfam family "5.8S ribosomal RNA". Rfam says of the family: 5.8S ribosomal RNA (5.8S rRNA) is a component of the large subunit of the eukaryotic ribosome. Lineage: Eukaryota; Fungi; Ascomycota; Sordariomycetes; Phyllachorales; Phyllachoraceae. The record is from RNAcentral.
AAACUUUCAACAACGGAUCUCUUGGUUCUGGCAUCGAUGAAGAACGCAGCGAAAUGCGAUACGUAAUGUGAAUUGCAGAACUCAGCGAACCAUCGAAUCUUUGAACGCACAUUGCGCCCGCCGGUAUUCCGGCGGGCAUGCCUGUCCGAGCGUCAUUG